Long non-coding RNA from Centruroides sculpturatus (bark scorpion), 309 nucleotides. RefSeq lists it as uncharacterized. The transcript has 3 exons. NCBI's taxonomy places the organism in Eukaryota, Metazoa, Arthropoda, Arachnida, Scorpiones, Buthidae. The record is from RefSeq and is a predicted model, not a curated record.
CAAAAGUCGACAAUCGCGUUGGAAAAGUUUGUGUUUACGUCACACAUGGUCCCUGUGUCUGCUAUCUACUCCCAGCAAUUCACACUGGGGUGGUCUGUGCAAAACAUGAAUACAUGUAAAUUUUAACCAGGAUCACACGUAACAGUAAUAAGCAGCACAUUUUGACUUUUGCAUUGUAAUAUAAACGAGUUUUAUUUGGCCCAAUGGAGAAAAAGAAACAGCGAAGAUAAGCAAUGUCUUUGAAAAUGAAAAUCUCAAUUUUAGAUCAUUUAGCAAAAGGAGAAGACUCUACGGCAAUUGAGAAACAUU